GGGAACAUCGCCAAGCGGUUAAGGCCGGGACCGAAAGUCCUAAGUCGGAGGGUUCGACUCCCCCUGUUCCCA
Molecule: transfer RNA, 72 nt
Filed under: Muribaculaceae bacterium
Lineage: Bacteria; Pseudomonadati; Bacteroidota; Bacteroidia; Bacteroidales; Muribaculaceae
Description: tRNA-Phe
Rfam family: tRNA
About the family: Transfer RNA (tRNA) molecules are approximately 80 nucleotides in length. Their secondary structure includes four short double-helical elements and three loops (D, anti-codon, and T loops).
Source: RNAcentral